UAACGUAGCUAACGCGUGAAGUCAGCCGCCUGGGGAGUACGGUCGCAAGAUUAAACUCAAAGGAAUUGACGGGGACCCGCACAAGCGGUGGAUGAUGUGGAUUAAUUCGAUGCAACGCGAAAAACCUUACCUACCCUUGACAUGUCACUAACGAAGUAGAGAUACAUUAGGUGCCCGUAAGGGAAAGUGAACACAGGUGCUGCAUGGCUGUCGUCAGCUCGUGUCGUGAGAUGUUGGGUUAAGUCCCGCAACGAGCGCAACCCUUGUCUUUAGUUGCUACGCAAGAGCACUCUAAAGAGACUGCCGGUGACAAACCGGAGGAAGGUGGGGAUGACGUCAAGUCCUCAUGGCCCUUAUGGGUAGGGCUUCACACGUCAUACAAUGGUGCAUACAGAGGGUUGCCAACCCGCGAGGGGGAGCUAAUCUCAGAAAAUGCAUCGUAGUCCGGAUCGUAGUCUGCAACUCGACUACGUGAAGCUGGAAUCGCUAGUAAUCGCGGAUCAGAAUGUCGCGGUGAAUACGUUCCCGGGUCUUGUACACACCGCCCGUCAUACCAUGGGAGUGGGUUUUACCAGAAGCCGUUAGCCUAACCGCAAGGAGGGCGACUGCCACGGCAGGGUUCAUGACUGGGGUAAAGUCGUAACAAGGUAGCCGUAUCGGAAGGUGC
This 667-nucleotide ribosomal RNA is filed under the name uncultured bacterium. RNAcentral describes it as "bacterial SSU rRNA". It matches the Rfam family "Bacterial small subunit ribosomal RNA", at positions 844 to 1515 of the family's 1533-position model. The record is from RNAcentral.